This 440-nucleotide ribosomal RNA is filed under the name Escherichia coli. RNAcentral describes it as "bacterial SSU rRNA". It matches the Rfam family "Bacterial small subunit ribosomal RNA", at positions 338 to 795 of the family's 1533-position model. The record is from RNAcentral. Lineage: Bacteria; Pseudomonadati; Pseudomonadota; Gammaproteobacteria; Enterobacterales; Enterobacteriaceae.
CCUACGGGAGGCAGCAGUGGGGAAUAUUGCACAAUGGGGGAAACCCUGAUGCAGCGACGCCGCGUGAGCGAUGAAGUAUUUCGGUAUGUAAAGCUCUAUCAGCAGGGAAGAAAAUGACGGUACCUGACUAAGAAGCCCCGGCUAACUACGUGCCAGCAGCCGCGGUAAUACGUAGGGGGCAAGCGUUAUCCGGAUUUACUGGGUGUAAAGAGAGCGUAGACGGCAUGGCAAGCCAGAUGUGAAAGCCCGGGGCUCAACCCCGGGACUGCAUUUGGAACUGUCAGGCUAGAGUGUCGGAGAGGAAAGCGGAAUUCCUAGUGUAGCGGUGAAAUGCGUAGAUAUUAGGAGGAACACCAGUGGCGAAGGCGGCUUUCUGGACGAUGACUGACGUUGAGGCUCGAAAGCGUGGGGAGCAAACAGGAUUAGAUACCCCAGUAGUC